Molecule: long non-coding RNA, 607 nt
Organism: Mauremys reevesii (Reeves's turtle)
Lineage: Eukaryota; Metazoa; Chordata; Testudines; Geoemydidae
Exons: 2
Source: RefSeq, a predicted model, not a curated record
UGCUGGUGUCAGUGAUGUUCUGUGCUGGUGUCAGCUAUGUUCUGUGGGUGGCUGAUGUCAGUAUUCUGGACAAAAUUCCCCCUCUUGCAUGCUACUUUAAAUUCCCUAUAACUUAUUAUUACCAAAGGUUAUAGGCCACAAGCCUCACACUAUCUACUAAAGCCAAAUCUUACAGGAUAAAAGCCUGUAGGUUCUUUGCAUUACUACUAAAUAUAAUAAAGCAGGAUAACAAAGCAACGAAUAUAAUACAGGAACAGUGGAAGCCUGAGAAAUUCAGUCAGCAACUGGAAGAGCCCCAACCUCCCCAGUGCACAAGCUGCAAACAACAAGCAACAAGACUCCAACAAAAGGGAAAAAGCUGAGUAAUACAUUAGUGCAGUGUAGAAUAUACUAUUCAAUUAUGAGAAAGCUCAUGUGUCCAGGAUAAACACAGCUCAAUGGAGAAUGGGAAAUGUGUAUGACAUGGUGAUAAAGCUGCCAUCUGGUGCGCACCACUGGAAAAGAUGUCGCCUUUGUUUAUAUCGCAGCUUGUGCAAGGAGCAUUUUAUAGUGCUGACAGUGAGAUAGAAAAAAAAAUGUUAUGGAAAUAAACAACUUUUUAAGUGUG